UUUCUUUCAUUUUUUAUGCCUUACCUCCGAAAUUUCUGUUUUUUACAUUUUUCUAAUUUUUCAUGCCUUACUGCAUUUUAACCCCAGUUUAAGUGUGCUCAUCAUAUUUACACUAGUUUUUAGGGUCUUAUGAUAGCCUUAUCUCAAUUUUUUUUUUUUUCAUUUUUUAUGCCUUACUAUAGCCUUACCUCCGAAAUUUCUGUUUUUUACAUUUUUCUAAUUUUUCGUGCCUUACUGCAUUUUAACCCCCGUUUAAGUGUGCUCAUCAUAUUUGCACUAGUUUUAGGGUCUUAUGAUAGCCUUAUCUCAAUUUUUUUUUCUUUCAUUUUUUAUGCCUUACCUCCGAAAUUUCUGUUUUUUACAUUUUUCUAAUUUUUCAUGCCUUACUGCAUUUUAACCCCAGUUUAAGUGUGCUCAUCAUAUUUACACUAGUUUUUAGGGUCUUAUGAUAGCCUUGUCUCAAUUUUUUUUUUUUUCAUUUUUUAUGCCUUACCUCCGAAAUAUCUGUUUUUUUACAUUUUUCUAAUAAUUCGUGCCUUACUGCAUUUUAACCCCCGUUUAAGUGUGCUCAUCAUAUUUGCACUAGUUUUUAGGGUCUUAUGAUAGCCUUAUCUCAAUUUUUUUUAUUUCAUUUUUUAUGCCUCUUUAUGCCGAAAUUUCUGUUUUUUACAUUUUUCUAAUUUUUCAUGCCUUACUGCAUUUUAACCCCAGUUUAAGUGUUCUCAUCAUAUUUGCACUAGUUUUUAGGUUCUUAUGAUAGCCUUAUCUCAGAAAAAAAAAAAAAAAAAAAAAAACAUUACGAUCUUUUUUGCCUUACUAUAGCCUUACCUCUGAAAUUUCUGUUUUUUACAUUUUUCUAUUUUUUCAUGCCUUACUGCAUUUUAACCCCAGUUUAAGUGUGCUCAUCAUAUUUGCACUAGUUUUUAGGGUCUUAUGAUAGCCUUAUCUCAAUUUUUUUUUUUUUCAUUUUUUAUGCCUUACUAUAGCCUUACCUCCGAACUAUCUGUUUUUGUACAUUUUUCUAAUAAUUCGUGCCUUACUGCAUUUUAACCCCCGUUUAAGUGUGCUCAUCAUAUUUGCACUAGUUUUUAGGGUCUUAUGAUAGCCUUAUCUCAAAUUUUUUUUUUUCAUUUUUUAUGCCUUACUAUAGCCUUACCUCCGAAAUUUCUGUUUUUUACAUUUUUCAAAUUUUUCGUGCCUUACUGCAUUUUAACCCCAGUUUAAGUGUGCUCAUCAUAUUUGCACUAGUUUUUAGGGUCUUAUGAUAGCUUUAUCUCAGAAAAAAAAAAAAAAAAAAAAAAAAACAUUACGAUCUUUUUGCCUUACUAUAGCCUUACCUCCGAAAUUUCUGUUUUUUACAUUUUUCUAAUUU
Molecule: long non-coding RNA, 1372 nt
Filed under: Gouania willdenowi (blunt-snouted clingfish)
Lineage: Eukaryota; Metazoa; Chordata; Actinopteri; Blenniiformes; Gobiesocidae
Description: lncRNA (ENSGWIG00000018202.1)
Source: RNAcentral